AACGAACGCUGGCGGCAUGCCUAACACAUGCAAGUCGAACGAGACCUUCGGGUCCAGUGGCGCACGGGUGCGUAACGCGUGGGAACCUGCCCUUAGGUUCGGAAUAACUCCCCGAAAGGGGUGCUAAUACCGGAUAAUGUCUUCGGACCAAAGAUUUAUCGCCUUUGGAUGGGCCCGCGUUGGAUUAGCUAGUUGGUAGGGUAAAAGCCUACCAAGGCGACGAUCCAUAGCUGGUCUGAGAGGAUGAUCCGCCACACUGGGACUGAGACACGGCCCAGACUCCUACGGGAGGCAGCAGUGGGGAAUAUUGGACAAUGGGCGAAAGCCUGAUCCAGCAAUGCCGCGUGAGUGAUGAAGGCCUUAGGGUUGUAAAGCUCGUUUACCCGGGAUGAUAAUGACAGUACCGGGAGAAUAAGCUCCGGCUAACUCCGUG
Molecule: ribosomal RNA, 433 nt
Filed under: uncultured bacterium
Lineage: Bacteria
Description: partial 16S ribosomal RNA
Rfam family: Bacterial small subunit ribosomal RNA
Source: RNAcentral